This is a non-coding RNA of Benincasa hispida (wax gourd), 906 nucleotides long. Lineage: Eukaryota; Viridiplantae; Streptophyta; Magnoliopsida; Cucurbitales; Cucurbitaceae. The record is from RefSeq and is a predicted model, not a curated record.
UGGUUCCAUCCGAUCUUUCUGUUUGGGGUAAGUUUCGGUUCCUUUUAGUAGCCCAUCGUCAUUUGGUAUUCUUGGGCCAAAGCUAAUUUUUACCCAAGGAAUUUGUGGUUGGUUUCAGGAACUUGUGGUGGUGAAGGAACUUUCCAAGCGGCGUGAGGGUUCGUUUUGGGAAAUAUCCUGAGGUAAGUGGUUUAUUACCAGUUUGCCCUCAAUCCCAAGCAUGCGUUACGUAUUGAUUCCUAGGUUGGAAUAAAAUGUUUUGAUAAGCCUGCUGGUCAGAGGGGAAAAUUUUGAAGGUUUACGCAUAGGUCACUGUAUGUCAUUGCAAAGUUUGAUGGAUGGGUAAUAUAUGAUAGAGUUUGAUGGAUGGGCAAAUCGUGAACUGUUGGAUGAUAUUGGCACGAUUUAUGGCCUUGUUUGCAUGCUUAUGUCUGUUUCAGAUUUUAGUGUCUAUUAGUGGCAUGAUUUAUGGCCUUUGUUGCAUGCUUAUGUCUGUUUCAGAUUUUAGUGACUGUUAAUGUUGCCAUUGGGCUACGCACAUCGCAUGUUAUGAGCCUUCGAGUCCACACCCUAUGCUUAUGUACGGUGUGCUUUCUGAGACCACCACUUAUGUUUAUGUUGGUGACUUUUGGGGUCACUACUUAUGAAAGUGUGCCUUCAGGUAAGGGUAACGAUAGACCGGUGCAUGACAAGAGAGAUCUGUGACCUGGCCAUUUGGACGAUUUACUACUUCCACACUUCGGUGUCAUGUAUUGGAGUCUGUUUUAGAAGUUAGGCGUUUUAGACUCUUAUGAAAUAUUCAUUGAUUUUAUUAUUUGAUUAUUUAAUUGUUAUUCAUUUUAAAGUUGAGUUAAGGGUACCCCAAACGGUAUUUUAUUAUUAUUAUUAUUUAUUUAUGUUUUCUCA